GCGCCCGUAGCUCAGUUGGCUGAGCGAUAGGACGGUAUCCCACGGUCCGGGUUCAAGUCCUGGCGGUCGCU
Phthorimaea operculella (potato tuberworm) is the source of this 71-nucleotide non-coding RNA. The record is from the annotation of a GenBank genome assembly. Lineage: Eukaryota; Metazoa; Arthropoda; Insecta; Lepidoptera; Gelechiidae.